UUUUGCAUUGGCUUUGCGUGCCAUAAUGCUGUUGCCGACAGCAUGUAAAAGGUGGGUUUUACCUAAACCGGUGCCGCCAUA
This 81-nucleotide antisense RNA is filed under the name Xenorhabdus innexi. RNAcentral's name for it is "antisense RNA of dnaA mRNA". It matches the Rfam family "antisense RNA of dnaA mRNA". Lineage: Bacteria; Pseudomonadati; Pseudomonadota; Gammaproteobacteria; Enterobacterales; Morganellaceae. The record is from Rfam by way of RNAcentral.